This 71-nucleotide transfer RNA is filed under the name Urocitellus parryii (Arctic ground squirrel). RNAcentral's name for it is "Spermophilus parryii (Arctic ground squirrel) tRNA". It matches the Rfam family "tRNA". Rfam says of the family: Transfer RNA (tRNA) molecules are approximately 80 nucleotides in length. Their secondary structure includes four short double-helical elements and three loops (D, anti-codon, and T loops). The record is from Rfam by way of RNAcentral. Lineage: Eukaryota; Metazoa; Chordata; Mammalia; Rodentia; Sciuridae. RNAcentral also lists the same sequence under 2 other names.
GCUGGUGUAGUUCAGUGGUAGAGCACUUGCCUAGCAUGCCUGAGGCCUUGGGUUCAGUCCCCAGCACUGCA